GAGGGAGGGACGCCGGAGAAGCU
This 23-nucleotide non-coding RNA is filed under the name Arabidopsis thaliana (thale cress). Lineage: Eukaryota; Viridiplantae; Streptophyta; Magnoliopsida; Brassicales; Brassicaceae. The record is from RNAcentral.